RNAcentral lists this transfer RNA (59 nucleotides) under Cricetulus griseus (Chinese hamster). RNAcentral describes it as "tRNA-Ser". The record is from RNAcentral. Lineage: Eukaryota; Metazoa; Chordata; Mammalia; Rodentia; Cricetidae.
AAGAAAGAAUUCAAGAGCUGCUAACUCAUGUAACCGUGUUUAACACCACGGCUUUCUUA